RNAcentral lists this ribosomal RNA (253 nucleotides) under uncultured bacterium. RNAcentral's name for it is "partial 16S ribosomal RNA". It matches the Rfam family "Bacterial small subunit ribosomal RNA", at positions 524 to 776 of the family's 1533-position model. The record is from RNAcentral.
UACGAAGGGGGCUAGCGUUGCUCGGAAUCACUGGGCGUAAAGGGUGCGUAGGCGGUUGGGUGUGUCAGAUGUGAAAUCCCGAGGCUUAACCUCGGAACUGCGUCUGAAACUACUCGACUAGAGUACUGGAGAGGGAAACGGAAUUCACGGUGUAGCAGUGAAAUGCGUAGAUAUCGAGAGGAACACCUGCGGCGAAGGCGGGUUGCUGGGCCGACACUGACGCUGAGGCGCGAAAGCCAGGGGAGAGAACGGG